This 643-nucleotide ribosomal RNA is filed under the name uncultured Actinomycetes bacterium. Its description in RNAcentral is "bacterial SSU rRNA". It matches the Rfam family "Bacterial small subunit ribosomal RNA", at positions 232 to 885 of the family's 1533-position model. The record is from RNAcentral. Lineage: Bacteria; Bacillati; Actinomycetota; Actinomycetes.
CGCGGCCUAUCAGCUUGUUGGUGGGGUGAUGGCUUACCAAGGCAACGACGGGUAGCCGGCCUGAGAGGGCGACCGGCCACACUGGGACUGAGACACGGCCCAGACUCCUACGGGAGGCAGCAGUGGGGAAUAUUGCACAAUGGGCGGAAGCCUGAUGCAGCGACGCCGCGUGAGGGAUGACGGCCUUCGGGUUGUAAACCUCUUUCAGCAGGGACGAAGCGUAAGUGACGGUACCUGCAGAAGAAGCGCCGGCCAACUACGUGCCAGCAGCCGCGGUAAGACGUAGGGCGCGAGCGUUGUCCGGAUUUAUUGGGCGUAAAGAGCUCGUAGGCGGCUUGUCGCGUCGACCGUGAAAACUUGGGGCUCAACCCCAAGCCUGCGGUCGAUACGGGCAGGCUAGAGUUCGGUAGGGGAGACUGGAAUUCCUGGUGUAGCGGUGAAAUGCGCAGAUAUCAGGAGGAACACCGGUGGCGAAGGCGGGUCUCUGGGCCGAUACUGACGCUGAGGAGCGAAAGCGUGGGGAGCGAACAGGAUUAGAUACCCUGGUAGUCCACGCUGUAAACGUUGGGCGCUAGGUGUGGGGGGCCUCUCCGGUUCCCUGUGCCGCAGCUAACGCAUUAAGCGCCCCGCCUGGGGAGUACGG